AUUGAACGCUGGCGGCAGGCCUAACACAUGCAAGUCGAGCGGAUGAAGGGUGCUUGCUCCUGGUUUCCGCGGCGGACGGGUGUGUAAUGCCUAGGAAUCUGCUUGGCUGUGGGGGGUAAUGACUGGAAACGGGCGCUGAUACUACCUACGACGUGCUGCUGCAGGAGGGGGGUGUUUGGAACUUCUGGUCUCUGGUGAAUCUAGGUGGGAGUUGCCAGUUGGUGGGGUGAAGGCCUACCUAGGCGAGCUUUCAUAAGUGGUCUGUGUGGAUGAUCAGUCACACUGGAACUGGGACACGGUCCAUACUCCUGCGGGAGGCAGCAGUGGGGAAUGUUGGACAAUGGGCGAAAGCCUUGUCCAGCGAUGCCGCGUGUGUUAAGAAGGUCUUCGGAGCGUAAAGCACGUUAAGUGGGGAGGAAGCGCAGUAAGUUAAUACCUUGCUUGUGUGACGGUACCGACAAAAGAAGCACCGGCUAACUACGUG
This 484-nucleotide ribosomal RNA is filed under the name uncultured bacterium. RNAcentral describes it as "partial 16S ribosomal RNA". It matches the Rfam family "Bacterial small subunit ribosomal RNA", at positions 30 to 507 of the family's 1533-position model. The record is from RNAcentral.